This 253-nucleotide ribosomal RNA is filed under the name uncultured bacterium. RNAcentral describes it as "partial 16S ribosomal RNA". It matches the Rfam family "Bacterial small subunit ribosomal RNA", at positions 524 to 776 of the family's 1533-position model. The record is from RNAcentral.
UACGUAGGGUGCGAGCGUUGUCCGGAAUUAUUGGGCGUAAAGAGCUUGUAGGCGGUCUGUCGCGUCUGCUGUGAAAAUCCGGGGCUCAACCUCGGGCCUGCAGUGGGCACGGGCAGACUAGAGUGCGGUAGGGGAGAUUGGAAUUCCUGGUGUAGCGGUGGAAUGCGCAGAUAUCAGGAGGAACACCAAUAGCGAAGGCAGCUCGCUGGGACGGUACUGACGCUAAGGCGCGAAAGCGUGGGGAGCGAACAGG